RNAcentral lists this signal recognition particle RNA (296 nucleotides) under Callithrix jacchus (white-tufted-ear marmoset). RNAcentral's name for it is "Metazoan signal recognition particle RNA (ENSCJAG00000071281.1)". It matches the Rfam family "Metazoan signal recognition particle RNA". From Rfam's summary of the family: The signal recognition particle (SRP) is a universally conserved ribonucleoprotein. It is involved in the co-translational targeting of proteins to membranes. The eukaryotic SRP consists of a 300-nucleotide 7S RNA and six proteins: SRPs 72, 68, 54, 19, 14, and 9. Lineage: Eukaryota; Metazoa; Chordata; Mammalia; Primates; Cebidae. The record is from Rfam by way of RNAcentral.
GCUGGGUGCAGUGGCACGAGCCUGUAGUCCCAGCUACUUGGGAGGCUGAGGCUGGAGGAUCGCUUGAGCCAGGAGUUCUGGGCUGUAGUGCGCUGUGCCGAUCGGGUGUCCGCACUAAGUUUGGCAUCAAUAUGGGGACCUCCCGGGAGGGGGGACCACCAGGUUGCCUAAGGAGGGGUGAGCCGGCCCAGGUCAGAAAUGGAGCAGGUCAAAAUUCCUGUGCUGAUCAGUAGUGGGAUCGCGUCUGUGAACAGCCACUGCACUCCAGCCUGGACAAUAUAGAGACCCCGUCUCUA